This 515-nucleotide ribosomal RNA is filed under the name uncultured bacterium. RNAcentral describes it as "partial 16S ribosomal RNA". It matches the Rfam family "Bacterial small subunit ribosomal RNA", at positions 28 to 523 of the family's 1533-position model. The record is from RNAcentral.
GAUGAACGCUGGCGGCGUGCCUAAUACAUGCAAGUCGAGCGAAUGGAUUAAGAGCUCGCUCUUAUGAAGUUAGCGGCGGACGGGUGAGUAACACGUGGGUAACCUGCCCAUAAGACUGGGAUAACUCCGGGAAACCGGGGCUAAUACCGGAUAAUAUUUUGAACUGCAUGGUUCAAAAUUGAAAGGCGGCUUCGGCUGACACUUAUGGAUGUAGCUGGGUCGCAUUAGCUAGUUGGUGAGGUAACGGCUCACCAAGGCAACGAUGCGGUGCCGACCUGAGAGGGUGAUCGGCCACACUGGGACUGAGACACGGCCCAGACUCCUACGGGAGGCAACAGUAGGGAAUCUUCCGCAAUGGACGAAAGUCUGACGGAGCAACGCCGCGUGAGUGAUGAAGGCUUUCGGGUCGUAAAACUCUGUUGUUAGGGAAGAACAAGUGCUAGUUGAAUAAGCUGGCACCUUGACGGUACCUAACCAGAAAGCCACGGCUAACUACGUGCCAGCAGCCGCCGUAA